UACGGAGGGUGCAAGCGUUAUCCGGAAUCACUGGGUUUAAAGGGUGCGUAGGCGGUCUGAUAAGUCAGUUGUGAAAUUCCUCGGCUUAACCGAGUGGACUGCGAUUGAUACUGUCAGACUUGAAUCAGGUUGAGGUAGGCGGAAUGUGACAUGUAGCGGUGAAAUGCUUAGAUAUGUCAUAGAACACCGAUUGCGAAGGCAGCUUGCUAGACCUGGAUUGACGCUGAGGCACGAAAGCGUGGGGAGCAAACAGG
Molecule: ribosomal RNA, 254 nt
Filed under: uncultured bacterium
Lineage: Bacteria
Description: partial 16S ribosomal RNA
Rfam family: Bacterial small subunit ribosomal RNA
Source: RNAcentral